ACGAACGCUGGCGGCGUGCCUAAUACAUGCAAGUAGAACGCUGAGGAGAGGAGCUUGCUCUUCUUGGAUGAGUUGCGAACGGGUGAGUAACGCGUAGGUAACCUGCCUUGUAGCGGGGGAUAACUAUUGGAAACGAUAGCUAAUACCGCAUAACAAUGGAUGACACAUGUCAUUUAUUUGAAAGGGGCAAUUGCUCCACUACAAGAUGGACCUGCGUUGUAUUAGCUAGUAGGUGAGGUAAUGGCUCACCUAGGCGACGAUACAUAGCCGACCUGAGAGGGUGAUCGGCCACACUGGGACUGAGACACGGCCCAGACUCCUACGGGAGGCAGCAGUAGGGAAUCUUCGGCAAUGGGGGCAACCCUGACCGAGCAACGCCGCGUGAGUGAAGAAGGUUUUCGGAUCGUAAAGCUCUGUUGUAAGUCAAGAACGGGUGUGAGAGUGGAAAGUUCACACUGUGACGGUAGCUUACCAGAAAGGGACGGCUAACUACGUG
RNAcentral lists this ribosomal RNA (496 nucleotides) under uncultured bacterium. RNAcentral describes it as "partial 16S ribosomal RNA". It matches the Rfam family "Bacterial small subunit ribosomal RNA", at positions 29 to 507 of the family's 1533-position model. The record is from RNAcentral.